This 72-nucleotide transfer RNA is filed under the name Camelus bactrianus (Bactrian camel). It matches the Rfam family "tRNA". From Rfam's summary of the family: Transfer RNA (tRNA) molecules are approximately 80 nucleotides in length. Their secondary structure includes four short double-helical elements and three loops (D, anti-codon, and T loops). The record is from Rfam by way of RNAcentral. Lineage: Eukaryota; Metazoa; Chordata; Mammalia; Artiodactyla; Camelidae. RNAcentral also lists the same sequence under 1 other name.
GGGGGUAUAGCUCAGGGAUAGAGCAUGUGCUUGGCGUGCACAAGGUCCUGGGUUAAAUCCCCAGUGCCUCCA